AAAAGGCACUUGAAACUGUACUUGCAUUUCAACUGCAAUCCUUUAAGUGUUGCAUACAAUAGGUACUCAGCGAAUCAACUCUCCCCCUCCAGCAUGGGGAUAUCAGUGCUUACAGUUCUGUGCUACAGAAUGUUAUUUCACCUCCUUCUCCAAAAUCCGGAUGGGAUCCGUGCAGUGGAAGCAGAUAUGCUGUUCCAGCUGUAAUUGACGGGAGACAUCAGGCUUCAACCAAUAUCCAAUCCUUGGCAUCCUCCAAUUUAAGUCCAUCAACAACGUGCCAUUUUCACAUUAACGAUUCAUGUUGCUAUUGGAAAGUCUUAAAAUUUUUAUUAGACAUAUCUUAGUCAUUCACACCUUGAUUUUGUGCUGGAAAUCUUCACCUUCCAUUCCAUAAAUUUGAUUUACAGAGGAAUUGGAAUUUCA
This is a long non-coding RNA of Ornithorhynchus anatinus (platypus), 423 nucleotides long. RefSeq lists it as uncharacterized. Lineage: Eukaryota; Metazoa; Chordata; Mammalia; Monotremata; Ornithorhynchidae. The transcript is spliced from 3 exons. The record is from RefSeq and is a predicted model, not a curated record.